This 109-nucleotide non-coding RNA is filed under the name Spirochaetota bacterium. RNAcentral's name for it is "Spirochaetes bacterium TPP sequence". It matches the Rfam family "TPP riboswitch aptamer (THI element)". From Rfam's summary of the family: Vitamin B(1) in its active form thiamin pyrophosphate (TPP) is an essential coenzyme that is synthesised by coupling of pyrimidine and thiazole moieties in bacteria. The previously detected thiamin-regulatory element, thi box was extended, resulting in a new, highly conserved RNA secondary structure, the THI element, which is widely distributed in eubacteria and also occurs in some archaea. Analysis of operon structures identified a large number of new candidate thiamin-regulated genes, mostly transporters, in various prokaryotic organisms. The record is from RNAcentral. Lineage: Bacteria; Pseudomonadati; Spirochaetota.
AUGCGCCUGCCGGGGUGGUGUCCAUACUUCGUUGAAGUGGAUAUCUGAGAACAAACCCGUACAACCUGAUCCGGAUAAUACCGGCGGAGGGAGACGAAUGAACACUCGU